UGACCUUAACUCAGAUGUGGCGACCCGCCAAAUUUAAGCAUAUUACUAAAAGGUGGAAAAGAAUAUAAACAGGAUUCCCUCAGUAAUGGUGAGGGAAGAGGCCAGAGCCAAAUCCCUGCCAGGGUGACAUUUGCAGGGAAAUGUGGUAUACUGAAGUCUGUCUCCCCAGUACCGUCAAGGGGGCCCAAGUCCUUGUGAUCAAGACCCAGCCCGCUGAUGGAGUGAGGCUGGUGGCAGUCCCCGGCAUGUCGGGAUCAGGUCUUCCCGGAGUAGGGUUGUUUGUGAAUGCUGCCCAGAGCAGGCGAUAAACCCCAUCUAAGGCUAAACACUGGCACAAGACUGAUGGUGGACAAGUACCAUAAUGGAAAGUUGAAAAGAACUUUGAAGAGAGCGCUCAAGAGGGCGUGAAACCAUUCAGAGGUAAAUGGGUGGGGUCUGCUUGGACCACCAAGAGGAUUCAACUCGGCAGCUGCUCCGGCCACUCAAGUGAGGCAGAUCCACCUCCCCCUCCCAGGGGUGGGGGACCAUCCCCGGGUGCACUGGCUGCUGUUGGGCAUACUUCCUCCUCGGAGGUGCACUACGAUCAUCUGCAGGUUGGCCAAGAAGGCCAUGCAGAAGGUGGCUCCCCUCUAGCAUCAGCCCUCGCCAUGCUCUGGGGUCAUGGGAGAUGACUGCAGCCAUCUCCUGGUGCGACUGUCGAUCGGGCUGGACUAUCCUCAGUGUGGUCUGACCAAUUCUUACUGCUGGGCCAGCGGGCACACCUUGGGUGCCCGGGGUCUGCUCUGAAAUUGAUGACCCACCCGUCCCGUCUUGAAACACGGACCAAGGAGUCUAACAGGUGCAUGAAUCCGAGGGUGGGGCGGAGACCCCACAGCACAAUAAAAGUGAAGGCUGGCGUGAGCCAACUGGGUGGGAUCCCCUUGCCCUGCACGGAGGGCAUUCUGCCGGGCCAUCUCACCCAUCCCAUCGGGGAGUUGGAGUGUGAGCUUAUCUGGUGGGACCCAAAAGAUUGUGAACUAUACCUGGGCAGGGCAAAGCCAGAGGAAACUCUGGUGGAGGUCCGUAGCAGUCCUGAUGUGCGAUUCGGUCAUCCAAACUGGGUAUCAGAGUGAAAGACUAAUCAAACCAUCUAGUAGCUGGUUCCCUCCAAAGUUUCCCUCAGGAUAGCUGCCACUCAGCGAACACAGUUUUAUCUGGUAAAGUGAGUGAUUAGAGGUCUUGGGGCUGAAACAAUCUCAACCUAUUCUCAAACUUUAAAUGGGUAAGAAGCCCGACUUGCUGACUUGGAGCCAAGCGUGGAAUGCGAGCACCCAGUGGUCCACUUUUGAUAAGCAGAACUGGUGCUGCAGGGUGAACCGAAUGCUGGAUUAAGGCACCCAAUGCUGAUGCUCAUCAGACCUCAGAAAAGGUGCUGGCUGAUAAGAACACAGGAUGGUGGCCAUGGAAGUUGGAAUCUGCUAAGGAGUGUGUAACAACUCACCUGCUGAAUCAACUAGCCCUGAAAAUGGAUGGGGCUGGAGCAUUGAGCCCAUACCCUGCUAUCGCCGGCACUGGGAGCCAAGGGGCCUAUGCAGCGAUGAGUAGGAGGACCGCCAUGGUGGCAUUGAAACCCAGGGCUCCAAAGUAGAGAAGAGUUCCAUGUAAACAGCAGAUGAACAUGGAUCAGUUGGUCCUGAGAGAUAGGCAAGUGCAGUUCUGAAGGGACAGGCGAUGGCCUCCGUCACCCUCAGCCGAUCAAAAAGGGAGUUGGGUUCAGAUCCUCGAAUCCAGAACAGUGGAGAAGGGCACCUCGCGGCUUCCAGUGCGGUGACGCAAAUGAUCCUGGAAAAGCUGGUGGGGGCUGCUGGGAGAGUUCUCUUUUCUUUGUAAAGGGCAGGGCACCCUGGAAUGAGUUCACCCUGAGAGAGGUACCCACUCCCUGGAAAGCAUCAUCGUUCUGACAGCAUCAGGUGAGCUCUCGCCGGCCCUUGAAAAUCUGAGGGAGAGGGUAUAAGUCUCAUGUCAGGCCAUACCCAUAUCCACAGCAGGUCUCCAAGGUGAACAGCCUCUGGCAUGUUAGAACAAUGUAGGUAAGGGAAGUCGGUAAGCCAAAUCAGUAACUUUGGAAUAACGAUUGGCUCUAAUGGCUGCAUCAGUCAGGCUUGGCUAUGAAGCAAGGCUGGGCACGGACCAUGGCUGGAUGAGGCAUUGCCCCCUUGCCAUGCUCCCCCCUCCCUGGGGAGGCCAGGGGGAUGACGGUGGUGACUCUGGAUGCAUUCCGGGCCCUACCUGUGGAUCUCCCUGGCUGUGCCAGGUGCCAGUUCUGACCGGCUUCCUGAAUCAUCCGGCAGCUUGCAGCUGACUUAGAACUGGUUUGGACUAGGGGAAUCCAACUGUUUAAUUAAAACAAAGAAUAGCGAAGGCCCAAGACGAGUGUUGACACAAUGUGAUUUCUGCCCAGUUCUCUGAAUGUUAAAGUGAAGAAAUUCAAUGGAGCAUGGAUAAAUGGUGGGAGUAACUAUGACUCUCUUAAGGUAGCCAAAUGUCUCUUCAUCCAAUUAGUGAUGCACAUGAAUGGAUGAACAAGAUUCCCACUGUCCCUACCUACUAUGUAACAAAACCACAACCAAGGUAACGGGCUUGGCAGAAUCAGCGGGGAAAGAAGAUCCUGUUCAGCUUAACUCUAGUCUGGCACUGUGAAGAGACAUAAGAGUUGUAGAAUAAGUGGGAGCCCUUGGCCACCGGUGAAAUACCACUACUCUUAUAAUGUUUUCACUUACCUGGUGAGACAAUGGGGCGAGCCCCACUGGGGCUCUCACUUCUGGCUCCAAGUGCCUGAGCAUCUGAUUGUGACCUGCUCCCAGGACAGUGACAGGUGGGGAGUUUGAAUGGGGUGGUACACCUGUCAAAGAGUAACACAGGUAUCCUAAGGUGAGCUCAGGGACAACAGAAACCUCCCAUGGAGCAGAAGACCAAAAUCUCACUUGAAACCGUGAAAGCAGGGCCUCAGGAAUGUUCAGGCUUUUUGGGUUUUAAGCAGGAGGGGUCAGAAAAGUUACCACAGGGAUAACUGGCUUGUGGCAGCCAAGCAUUCAUAGCGACAUGGCUUUUUGAUCCUUCAAUGUCGGCUCUUCCUAUCAUUGUGAAGCAGAAUUCACCAAGCGUUGGAUUGUUCACCCACUAAUAGGGAAUGUGAGCUGGGUUUAGACAGUCAUGAGACAGGUUAGUUUUACCCUACUGAUGAUAUGAUGUUGUGAUAGUAAUCCUGCUCAGUAUGAAAGGAACCACAGGUACAGAAAUUUGGUGUAUGUGCUUGCCUGAGGAGCCAAUGGUGCAAAGCUACCAUCUGUGGGAUUAUGACUGAAUGCCUCUAAGUAACAAUCCUACCUAAAUGUAAUGAUACUGCAGUGCCACGGAACUCAGGUUGGUCAGAGAUAGCCAGCCGCAAGGUCGGCGAGGAGUGCAACUCAUCACUGGGUCUGCUGGCGGAUGGAAGGGGGCUGGCUCUCUCCAGCAGUGCACCACAUGUUCAUGGGGAACCAGGUGCUAAAUCAUUUGUAGACAACUUGAUUUUAGGUCAGGGAUUCAUACGUAGCAGAGCAGCAAAAAGCUGCGAUCUAUUGAAAUUCAAGCCUUCGAACCAAGCUUUUGA
This is a ribosomal RNA of Protopterus annectens (West African lungfish), 3631 nucleotides long. The record is from RefSeq and is a predicted model, not a curated record. Lineage: Eukaryota; Metazoa; Chordata; Ceratodontiformes; Protopteridae.